Molecule: ribosomal RNA, 400 nt
Filed under: uncultured bacterium
Lineage: Bacteria
Description: bacterial SSU rRNA
Rfam family: Bacterial small subunit ribosomal RNA
Source: RNAcentral
UGGGGAAUAUUGGGCAAUGGGGGAAACCCUGACCCAGCGACGCCGCGUGAGGGAAGACGGCCUUCGGGUUGUAAACCUCUUUUGUACGGGAAGAAGGAAGUGACGGUACUGUACGAAUAAGUCCCGGCUAACUACGUGCCAGCAGCCGCGGUAAUACGUAGGGGACGAGCGUUGUCCGGAAUUACUGGGCGUAAAGGGCGCGCAGGCUGUGCUGCAAGUCAGCUGUGAAAUGUCUGGGCUUAACCCGGGCAUGCGGUUGAGACUGCAGUGCUGGAGUGCUGUAGAGGCAAGUGGAAUUCCCAGUGUAGCGGUGAAAUGCGUAGAUAUUGGGAAGAACACCGGUGGCGAAGGCGACUUGCUGGGCAGCAACUGACGCUGAGGCGCGAAAGCCAGGGGAGCA